RNAcentral lists this long non-coding RNA (5317 nucleotides) under Lotus japonicus. RNAcentral's name for it is "long non-coding RNA (LJAP_LNC000792)". The record is from RNAcentral. Lineage: Eukaryota; Viridiplantae; Streptophyta; Magnoliopsida; Fabales; Fabaceae.
CAGGUCGGACCAAUUUGAUGGAAACCCAAAACAGAAAAUAGAACUGAAAGCAAUGAAACAGAAAUCAGGAUUGUUUAUUGAUGAAUUGGAAAUCGUUACAGAGAAGGAAAAGCCUUUCCUAGACUGACCAGAGCCAAGCUCCUAUAGGAAGCUAUUGCUUCCUACCCAUUACUACACGCUCAAUGAUUCCAGCAUUCCCCCUCUACCUCUCACUACCUUCCUUAUAUUAUGGAAUGGAUUACAAUCCUACCUCCCCUCUCUCUCACCAGCUGUGCUGUUAGUUAGUUACUACUCCCUUUGUCCCUUUUGCCCCUUCUAGAGUAUACCUUCCACUCUUUGGGCUUCGACCCCACAUGGACUAAUGACUCACUUGGGCCAGCUGCUGGAUCAUAGUUCCUAACAAUGCCGCCGUCUGAACUCACAACCUUGUCCCCAAGGUUGAAGUUUGGGUAUAAACUCAUGAUGGUGAGGGCAUCCUCCCAGGUAGCCUCCUCAGCAGUUUUGCCUUGCCAUUUAAUUAGUAGCUGCUGAAUGGUGUCACCCUGCAACUUCACCAUGCGAGUGGCUAAAACAGUGUCGGGUGUGUCCUUGUCAUCACACUCUCCCUCCAAUUGAUCUGGCAAAUCUGCUUCUGCAGAGUAGUCCCCAAUCGCCUUCUUGAGCAAUGACACAUGAAACACAGGAUGAACUCGCGAUCCUUCUGGUAAACGUAACCUGUAAGCCACCGCACCCACACGAGCCACGAUAGGAUAAGGCCCAUAGUAUCGGGCUGCCAGCUUUGCAUGAACCCGGGUUACUACAGAUUGUUGACGAUGUGCGCGAAGCUUCACAAAGACCCAUUCCCCGACAGUAAAUGAUUUUUCAACCCGCUUAGUGUCAGCUUGUGACUUCAUUCGACCCUGGGCUCGCAAGAGUUGUGCCUUCAACUGGCGCAGAACCUCAUCUCGAUCAACCAAUUCACGUUGCACUGCGUCAACCCUGGUCUCCCCGAGUCCCCAGCGUGUGAUUGCUGGGGGUUUGCGUCCAUAAACAACCUCGAACGGGGUCAUAUGUGUGGCUGAGUGGUAAGAUGUAUUGAACCAAUACUCAGCCCAAUGGAUCCAAGUUGCCCACGUUUUAGGUUGAUCAGCCGAAAAACAACGCAAAUACGUUUCCAAACAGCGAUUUACGACUUCCGUUUGUCCAUCCGAUUCGGGGUGGUACGCGGAACUCAUAUUCAACUGUGUGCCCUGCAACCGGAAAAGCUCUUUCCAGAAAUGACUCAUAAAUACUGGGUCCCGGUCGCUCACAAUGGAUGAGGGAACUCCAUGCAAACGUAUGACUUCCUUGGCAAACAAUUCAGCGAUGCUCUUCGCAGUAUAGGGGUGCUUCAGCGGAAUGAAGUGACAGAACUUGGAUAGGCGAUCCACGACCACUAGCACUGCCUCGUAUCCCCUGGAUUUAGGUAGGCCAGUUAUGAAAUCAAUCGAGAGAUCUUCCCACACCUGAUUUGGGAUGGGUAGAGGCUGCAGCAAGCCUGCGGGCGAUGAGGCCAUGUACUUUUGUCUUUGGCAUGUAUCACAGCUACGAACAAACUCUUGCACCGUGUUCUUCAUGCCUACCCAAUAGAUGUUGGCCGCGAGCCGCCGAUAGGUGCGGAGAAAUCCGGAGUGCCCGCCAUGUGGGGUGGUAUGAAAUUCCUUUAACAUCUGUGGAAUUAGAGAGGAAGUGUGUGACAAAACCAGCCUCCCUUUGUACAACAGAAUUCCCUGCUGUAGACUGAAUUCCGGAUGAGUUGAUGGGUCAUUUUGUAACUCCAUGAUCACAUGCUUAAGUUUUGCAUCCUGCUGAAUCUCUGUUGCUAUCAACUGGUGAUCUUCCCAGCGCGGGUACGUGCACACGGUCCUGAUCUCACCAUAUUCCCCAACGCGCGAUAGCGCAUCUGCUCCCUUAUUUAACUUCCCAGGUUUAUAAACGAUAUCAAAGUCAUACCCCAAUAGCUUCGCGGCCCAAUUCUGUUGUUCCCCAGUAAUAAUCUUUUGAUGGAGCAAUUCUUUAAGACUCUUCUGAUCAGUAGACACAAGAAAUUUCCGUCCCAAUAAGUAAGGACGCCAGUGCUGUAUCGCCAAAGCUACUGCCAUAAGCUCUUUCUCAUAGGCGGACUUAGCGAGGUUCCGUGGUCCUAAGGCCUUGCUAUAGUAUGCUAUGGGUUUCUUGUCUUGCAUCAAAAUCGCCCCGAGGCCACACCCUGACGCAUCACACUCAAUUAGGAAUUCCUUCUCAAAAUCUGGAAGUGCCAAAACAGGGGCCGUUGUGAGCUUCCCUUUUAGAGUUUCAAAUGCAUUUUGUGCUGCAGCUCCCCACUGAAAAGCAUCUUUCUUUGUCAAGUCUGUGAGUGGCCUUGCUAUUUUCCCAUAAUCCCGAAUAAAUUUCCUGUAGUAACCGGUUAAUCCAAGAAAACCUCUCACCCCUUUUACAUUCUUGGGCACGGGCCAACUCUUGACACUCGCUACCUUGCUAGGAUCAACCGCCACUCCCUGUGCUGAAAUCAGGUGCCCCAAGUAUUCAACUGAGUCUUGCGCAAAUUGACAUUUCUUCUUGUUUGCUGUCAAGUGUUGCUGUUGGAGGAGUUGUAAGACCUUCUCAAGAUGCAAUAGGUGCGUUUCCCAGUCGCUGCUAUACACUAGAAUAUCAUCAAAAAAUACAAGCACUCCCUUCCGGAGCAUGGGACGAAAAACUGCGUUCAUCAAACUCUGAAACGUCGAUGGUGCGUUCAUGAGACCGAACGGCUUUACGAGGAAUUCGUAGUGCCCUUCAUGGGUACGAAAUGCCGUUUUAUGCACAUCCUCUGCCCUUACGCGAACCUGAUGAUGCCCCGACUUGAGAUCAAGCUUUGAGAAAAAUUUAGCACCAUUCAACUCAUCGAGCAGCUCUUCAAUUACGGGAAUGGGAAACUUGUCAGGGACUGUUACCUUAUUGAGUGCGCGGUAAUCCACGCACAUACGCCAUGACUGGUCCUUCUUCUUGACCAAGAGCACUGGACUGGAGUAAGCGCUUGAGCUAUGUCGUAUGAUGCCGGCUGACAACAUCUCCUGAACCUGCCUUUCAAUUUCAUUUUUAUGGGUAUGGGGAUAACGAUAUGGCCUGACGUUGACUGGUCCCUGCCCUUCCUUUAUGUUGAUACAAUGCUCUUUGCCUCGACUCGGGGGUAGCCCCUCCUGAGCUUCAAACACACUGUCAUACUCUUGCAACAACUUCUGCAAGCUUUCCUGUUGCGCUGCCUCUAGAUGCUGACCUUUGGGAACCUCAUGCCGGUGCUCCAAGAGUCCAAACGCUAGCUUGCUGUCAAGGUCAGACCUUCUCAGGAUGCUCUGCAACGCCCCCAUGGAACUUCCGCCAGCACUAAGACCCUGUAGCCUGACCCACUGUGUGCCGUGCCAGAAACUCAUAGUAUGCUUUCCCCAAUUAGCAAUUGUAUCUCCCAACGUCUUGAGCCAUUCAAUUCCCAGCACAAUAUCAGGGCCUCCCAGAUCAAACAAAUGGGGUGUGCACGAGAACUUGUAAUCCCCAAUCUCCAGGUCAAGCUCCUUACACUUACCUCUGGUGUGAGUCUGGAAACCAUCUCCCAACUUGAUGGACAUCCGUGGAGUGUCUUCCACCGGCUAACAGGAGCGCGGGCACCCCUCCCACUUUUCCUUGUAGCCUCAUGGUUUGUGGCGGCUCACCAUGGUCGACGAGAUUGCACAAACUCAUUAUGCUUAGCUCACCAUCGACCUCGUCUUCCAUCUCGUUCAUCUCUACGGCGAGAAUGUUCCCAUCACCGGCGUCGUCGUCGCCGUCUUCGACGAGCAGCACUCGGAGUUGACGAUCGGGGCACUUGUGCAUUGGGUGGAAAGGGCCUCCACAUUUGAAGCACUGACCCUUUUGCUUCCGCUCCAAUAGUUCAUGAUAAGUGAGAUGGGAGAAACCCCUGUCACGUGGACCGGCCCUCCUAGCUUCUGUUGUUGCCUUGGGGUCUCCUUUUGGGCCACCAAAAACUGGUUUAGUAGUAGUCGCGGGCCCAUUAUCCUGAGUGCCUGUGACCCAGACCCAAUCGGUGCUUCCCGGGCGACCCGGCCCCAUUGGGCCAGUCCGAAAACCCGCUCCACCAAUCCUCGAACUACGGUUAUAACCCGACCCGGCUUCACCCCUUACUUCCUUCUCCACCGCACGAGCGAUCAAGAGCAAUCUUGAGCGGUUCACUCCGCCCAUCGCCACCAAGCUCCUCACCUUUCCCCGUAUCUCUUCUUUCAGACCAUGCAAGAAGUAUCCCUGGUAUUGCUUCUCAGGUAAUUUUGGGAUUUGGGCCGUCAAAUAUUCGAACUCGGUAAUGUACUCCUCCACCGUACCUUUCUGACGCAACUCAGUCAAUUGCUCGUACACGUCACCGUCGCCGUGACCGCCAUAACGCUCCAGAAGAGCUUGACGCAACUUCUCCCACGUCAGGGGAGCUUCUGAUUCGAGCAAAGAGUUGUAAAAAUGGAUGGUGGGUCCAUCCAUGCUGAGCUGAGCGAGGCUCACCUUGACCUCCGGUGAAGUCUCUUGCACACGGAAAUACACCUCCGCUCUACCUUCUUUACUGACUGGCGAAACUCCGCCAACGCAUCGCCGUGUAGAGGUUGCGUUCGUGGUCCUCCUCCGUUCGCUUCAGGUUGCUCAGGAACCUCAGCGCUUGAGCUUUCUCCCUUGUCUCGGUUUGCACUUGCAUCUUCCCUGUGUGACAUUUUUCCUAACGAUCGUUCCAUCAUCGCAAUCAACGAUGCAGGAAGAUCCUUCAUCGCCGUCGUAACAGCUACCAGCGACGUUCGCAUCUCAGCGAGCUCGCCUUCAAGAGCAUCAAGCUUUGCUUCCAUCGAGUUUGUCGUGUGUUUGGAUUUUCUGGGUGGCAUUCACUGGUUCCGGCGAAUCAAUCCGGCAGGUCGGACCAAUUUGAUGGAAACCCAAAACAGAAAAUAGAACUGAAAGCAAUGAAACAGUAAUCAGGAUUGUUUAUUGAUGAAUUGGAAAUCGUUACAGAGAAGGAAAAGCCUUUCCUAGACUGACCAGAGCCAAGCUCCUAUAGGAAGCUAUUGCUUCCUACCCAUUACUACACGCUCAAUGAUUCCAGAAUCCCCUCUCUACCUCUCACUACCUUCCUUAUAUUAUGGAAUGGAUUACAAUCCUACCUCCCCUCUCUCUCACCAGCUCACCAGCUGUGCUGUUAGUUAGUUACUACUCCCUUUGUCCCUUUUGCCCCUUCUAGAGUAUACCUUCCACUCUUUGGGCUUCGACCCCACAUGGACUAAUGACUCACUUGGGC